CUGACACUGACACUGAGGUGCGAAAGCGUGGGUAGCAAACAGGAUUAGAUACCCUGGUAGUCCACGCCGUAAACGAUGUCGACCAGCCGUUGGGUGCCUCGCGCACUUAGUGGCGAAGUUAACGCGAUAAGUCGACCGCCUGGGGAGUACGGCCGCAAGGUUAAAACUCAAAUGAAUUGACGGGGGCCCGCACAAGCGGUGGAGCAUGUGGUUUAAUUCGAUGCAACGCGAAGAACCUUACCUACUCUUGACAUCCUGCGAACUUGUGAGAGAUCACUUGGUGCCUUCGGGAGCGCAGAGACAGGUGCUGCAUGGCUGUCGUCAGCUCGUGUUGUGAAAUGUUGGGUUAAGUCCCGUAACGAGCGCAACCCUUGUCCUUAUUUGCCAGCACGUAAUGGUGGGAACUCUAAGGAGACUGCCGGUGACAAACCGGAGGAAGGUGGGGACGACGUCAAGUCAUCAUGGCCCUUACGAGUAGGGCUACACACGUGCUACAAUGGCCGGUACAAAGGGCAGCGAGCUCGCGAGAGUCAGCGAAUCCCUUAAAGCCGGUCUCAGUCCGGAUCGGAGUCUGCAACUCGACUCCGUGAAGUCGGAAUCGCUAGUAAUCGUGCAUCAGAAUGGCACGGUGAAUACGUUCCCGGGCCUUGCACACACCGCCCGU
This 664-nucleotide ribosomal RNA is filed under the name uncultured bacterium. RNAcentral's name for it is "bacterial SSU rRNA". It matches the Rfam family "Bacterial small subunit ribosomal RNA", at positions 734 to 1397 of the family's 1533-position model. The record is from RNAcentral.